Molecule: transfer RNA, 76 nt
Filed under: Candidatus Moranbacteria bacterium CG_4_9_14_3_um_filter_40_7
Lineage: Bacteria; Candidatus Moraniibacteriota
Also listed under: 2 other names
Description: tRNA-Thr
Rfam family: tRNA
About the family: Transfer RNA (tRNA) molecules are approximately 80 nucleotides in length. Their secondary structure includes four short double-helical elements and three loops (D, anti-codon, and T loops).
Source: RNAcentral
GCCCGCGUAGCUCAGUUGGUAGAGCGAUGCAUUCGUAACGCAUAGGUCGUCGGUUCAAUCCCGGCCGCGGGCUCAA